Molecule: long non-coding RNA, 801 nt
Organism: Vitis riparia (riverbank grape)
Lineage: Eukaryota; Viridiplantae; Streptophyta; Magnoliopsida; Vitales; Vitaceae
Exons: 6
Source: RefSeq, a predicted model, not a curated record
UUUCUCGAGAAAAACGUUUCCUCUGUUCAAAUAUGAAAUAUUCAAACCUACUCUCACCACCGUUUGUCGCUUGUCACAUGACUCACCUCACUCCAAGACAGUUUUCUAGUCAAGAUUUGGCUUACAACGGUUAAUCUCCUUUUCUUAUCAGAUCAAGUAAUUUGAAGAAGAAAGAUUGUACCUGUGGUUUUCUUGCAAGUUCUGUAGUUGUUGCCUUAAAAUUGCUGCUUCUCUCUGCCAAAACUAGCAGAAGUGCAAUGGCACGUAUUAAGGUGGAAUUUCCUUCAUUGGAUGGAGAAUCUUCUUACACCCAUUUUCUACAAGUGUGGAGUAUUUUAAUAACCAUUGUGUUAGCUCUUCGAUAAAAAGGUUUACUUCUUGUUUGAUUAGAGAAGACCACCGCUUAACCUUGGAUUUAAUGGCAAGUUGAUAUAGCUCCUUUUGUGCUGUGGAACUCGCAGUUGAACAUUGAAGGAUGGUUAAUGAAGGAAUACCUUGACUUCUGAUGCUGGAUUCAGCAAUUGAUGAUUCUCCUCUUUUGAUUUGUGAUAUCGGUCAAUUGCAGAUUUCAUGCUGUUGGUGCUUGAGGGGUAAUCAGAAGUUCAUUGUAACGUACCUCAACUUAUUCUUCUCUUGGGGAUGCAAACUCUCUGCAAAUGGUUUAUUGUACCUUGGAAUUAGAGACUCCAAUUUUCUAACAUUGUUGUUACUCUCUCUCAUGGAAAGAGAUUUUUUUGUAAACAUGAUACUCAGAAUGUUGACUAUAUUAUAAGUUAUAAAUGGUUCAGUUUUAUGCAUGAA